Molecule: ribosomal RNA, 253 nt
Filed under: uncultured bacterium
Lineage: Bacteria
Description: partial 16S ribosomal RNA
Rfam family: Bacterial small subunit ribosomal RNA
Source: RNAcentral
UACAGAGGGUGCGAGCGUUAAUCGGAAUUACUGGGCGUAAAGCGCGCGUAGGCGGCUUUGUAAGUCUGUCGUGAAAUCCCCGGGCUUAACCUGGGAAUUGCGAUGGAGACUGCAAGGCUAGAAUCUGGCAGAGGGGGGUAGAAUUCCACGUGUAGCAGUGAAAUGCGUAGAGAUGUGGAGGAACACCGAUGGCGAAGGCAGCCCCCUGGGUCAAGAUUGACGCUCAUGCACGAAAGCGUGGGGAGCAAACAGG